UUUUUUUCUCAAAUUCGUUGGCAGAUCUGGGAUAGACCCAAUAGUGGCCACCUUUGUUGGUGCAGCACUACCGGUGAAGAUGCCUUCAGAGGGGUCCGAGAACAGCAUCGAAGUACCAAGUUGCAGCGGUUCUGCCUGCGGAUGCUCGCCCUCUUGCGAUUGCAAACCUGAAUGCCACUGUUGAUGUACGUAUCUUGUUUAAUUAGUUUUUUCCUAAAUAACCACGGUAGUAUAAAUGUGUAAUUUCUAAUUGGUGGUCCUUAGAGGGGGGGCUAUUUUGCAAGCCCUGUAAAAUAUUGUCGACUAAUACCACUUUAUAGUAUAAUAACAGAUUUUGAAAUUUAUGUUUUUGCAAAAUAUAAUUGUAGGCCUUCGGAGGGCUCCGAGAAGAGCAUCGAAGUAGAGAGGGAGGGCAUCCAUCCAAAACUCGAGAAGAGCAUCGAAGCAGAGAGGUAGUGCAUCCAUCCAAAACUCGUAAUGACUAUGGAUGAAUGCCAAUGUUGGGCGAUCAUGGAUAUCCUGUAGCCAGCAAAAAUAAGAAAGAAUUAAUAUUUUUUCUGCUUGUGUCUCUGUGUGCUUUGUGAUGGAGUCUAUUUACUUAGUAUAAGAAAGGACGAAUGUCAUGCCCGUUGAGUUGUACUCAUAGAGAAUAAGUUUUCAUUUAUCACAAGAAAGAGUAAUGGCUGCUAUAAUGAUUUUCAUUUGAGGUUUUGGAAGUUGAGAAUUCAGUUGGUAGUUAUGUGAGCAGAUUGCAUA
Molecule: long non-coding RNA, 756 nt
Organism: Rhododendron vialii
Lineage: Eukaryota; Viridiplantae; Streptophyta; Magnoliopsida; Ericales; Ericaceae
Exons: 2
Source: RefSeq, a predicted model, not a curated record